UGCCAGCCGCCGCGGUAAUACGGAGGGUGUAAGCGUUAAUCGGAAUUACUGGGCGUAAAGCGCGCGUAGGCGGUUAUGUAAGUCGGAUGUGAAAGCCCUGGGCUUAACCUGGGAAUUGCACUCGAUACUGCCUGGCUAGAGUAUGGGAGAGGGAAGUGGAAUUUCCGGUGUAGCGGUGAAAUGCGUAGAUAUCGGAAGGAACACCAGUGGCGAAGGCGACUUCCUGGCCCAAUACUGACGCUCAGGUGCGAAAGCGUGGGUAGCGAACAGGAUUAGAUA
This 279-nucleotide ribosomal RNA is filed under the name uncultured bacterium. RNAcentral describes it as "partial 16S ribosomal RNA". It matches the Rfam family "Bacterial small subunit ribosomal RNA", at positions 506 to 784 of the family's 1533-position model. The record is from RNAcentral.